RNAcentral lists this ribosomal RNA (459 nucleotides) under uncultured bacterium. Its description in RNAcentral is "partial 16S ribosomal RNA". It matches the Rfam family "Bacterial small subunit ribosomal RNA", at positions 338 to 795 of the family's 1533-position model. The record is from RNAcentral.
CCUACGGGUGGCAGCAGUGAGGAAUAUUGGUCAAUGGGCGGGAGCCUGAACCAGCCAAGCCGCGUGAGGGAAGACGGUACAGCGUAUCGUAAACCUCUUUUGUCAGGGAACAAAGGCGGGGACUAGUCCCCGGAUGAGGGUACCUGAAGAAAAAGCAUCGGCUAACUCCGUGCCAGCAGCCGCGGUAAUACGGAGGAUGCGAGCGUUAUCCGGAUUUAUGGGGUUUAAAGGGUGCGCAGGCGGCCUGUUAAGUCAGCGGUAAAAUCCCGGGGCUCAACCCCGGCGAGCCGUUGAAACUGGCGGGCUUGAGUUGGAGAGAGGUACGCGGAAUGCGCGGUGUAGCGGUGAAAUGCUUAGAUAUCGCGCAGAACCCCGAUUGCGAAGGCAGCGUACCGGCUCCACACUGACGCUGAGGCACGAAAGCGUGGGUAUCGAACAGGAUUAGAUACCCGGGUAGUC